UACGAAGGGACCUAGCGUAGUUCGGAAUUACUGGGCUUAAAGAGUUCGUAGGUGGUUGAAAAAGUUGGUGGUGAAAUCCCAGAGCUUAACUCUGGAACUGCCAUCAAAACUUUUCAGCUAGAGUAUGAUAGAGGAAAGCAGAAUUUCUAGUGUAGAGGUGAAAUUCGUAGAUAUUAGAAAGAAUACCAAUUGCGAAGGCAGCUUUCUGGAUCAUUACUGACACUGAGGAACGAAAGCAUGGGUAGCGAAGAGGAUUAGACACCCUCGUAGUCCAUGCCGUAAACGAUGUGUGUUAGACGUUGGAAAUUUAUUUUCAGUGUCGCAGCGAAAGCGAUAAACACACCGCCUGGGGAGUACGACCGCAAGGUUAAAACUCAAAUGAAUUGACGGGGACCCGCACAAGUAGUGGAGCAUGUGGUUUAAUUCGAAGAUACGCGCAGAACCUUACCAACACUUGACAUGUUCGUCGCGACUCUAAGAGAUUAGAGUUUUCGGUUCGGCCGGACGAAACACAGGUGCUGCAUGGCUGUCGUCAGCUCGUGUCGUGAGAUGUUGGGUUAAGUCCCGCAACGAGCGCAACCCUCACUUUUAGUUGCCAUCAUUAAGUUGGGCACUCUGAAAGAACUGCCAGUGAUAAGCUGGAGGAAGGUGGGGAUGACGUCAAGUCCUCAUGGCCCUUACGUGUUGGGCUACACACGUGCUACAAUGGUAUCUACAACAGGAAGCAAGACUGCGAAGUUAAGCAAAUCCCUAAAAGAUACCUCAGUUCGGAUUGCACUCUGCAACUCGAGUGCAUGAAGCUGGAAUUACUAGUAAUCGUGGAUCAGCGUGCCACGGUGAAUGCGUUCCCGGGUCU
RNAcentral lists this ribosomal RNA (856 nucleotides) under uncultured bacterium. RNAcentral describes it as "bacterial SSU rRNA". It matches the Rfam family "Bacterial small subunit ribosomal RNA", at positions 524 to 1381 of the family's 1533-position model. The record is from RNAcentral.